AGAGGUUUGGAUGUGGGGGUUUGCUGGCCUCUUUUAAAAGGCUCAGCUCCUCUGAAAUGCAUUAGCAGAACAAACCUGUUCAUUGGUGUGAUAACUAUCUACGCUAUUGAAUGUAAGGGGCAGUUCAGCUCUCUAAUGGUCCUCGGACAAUUCAUCAUUAAUGUGACCUCAAAUCAGGUAGGACUACCCGCUGAACUUAA
RNAcentral lists this unclassified non-coding RNA (200 nucleotides) under soil metagenome. RNAcentral describes it as "partial contains internal transcribed spacer 2 and large subunit ribosomal RNA". The record is from RNAcentral.